This 1015-nucleotide long non-coding RNA is filed under the name Equus asinus (donkey). RNAcentral's name for it is "lncRNA (ENSEASG00005031018.1, ENSEASG00020016594.1)". The record is from RNAcentral. Lineage: Eukaryota; Metazoa; Chordata; Mammalia; Perissodactyla; Equidae.
CUCCAAGUCAGUUAUGCUCUUUUCUCAUUCUUGUUGUUGUUUUCACAAAGAUACAAAGAAAAGAACGAAAGAUGGUGAUUGAGCAGAUAUCCUAUUUUUUGAGAAAUUGAUACUUCUAGCCAUUCCAGUACACGGACCGAGUCCAUUUGGAAAAUGCUCAUUAUAUGGGAGGCUGUGGACGCUGGGACAAAAACAUCUCAGACGCUGUUCUCAGGGAGCUCACAGUCAAGUGAGGAAGACAAAUAAUUAACAAGGCCGAAGCAAACACAUCUCAGUAGUCCAGGGGGCAUCACUAGUGAGAACUCAAAGGACAGAAAUUACUUGCAUCUCCACCAAACAAAAAUCUAUCAGCUAACCCCGCCCCAACAGAGCUGCAACUUAGCCCCAUCAAUGGAGAGCCAGUCUAAGGAGCACGCUGAGCGCCUCACUGAAGAGCACCCAGGCCUCGGGGUGCUUGCCAUUGCCAAGUUCUGAGCAAUUCUUCUCCAGCACGCUCUACCCUGGCCUGGGGCAAGUCCUCUCUUGUCCCUCUGCCUAGCCAGGUCCCUGCUCUAUCCAGCCUGUUUGAGACCCUCAUUAGCCCUUCUCUCUUUUAGAAACCUUCCAUCCAAACUGGAUGAACAGCUAUUUCAGCAACUCCCUAUGGCUUCGUCUCUUCGUUCACGGGAUGCCAUGUGGCAGGAACGUGGAGACGCUGAGCAUCAGCCAUGGAUCACGAUGCUCUCUGAAUGGGAAGGUGGCCGAGGGGCUCCAACAGCUCGUCACCAUGAGCCAUUCCAUUAUAGGCACUGUGUUGAAGCCCCAGCCACCGAGACCUGAGAGGUCCUAUUUUACUCUGGGUCAUGGGCAGAGAGGAGAAACAGCUGGAAAGAUAAAGCCAGAACUAGGAAAAUGGCCAUAGAAGACCACGGUGAAACUCAUCAAAUAGAACACUUAAAAUAUGUGUAUUUCAUGUUAUGCUAAUUAUUCUGGAUUAACCUGAAUUUUAAAAAUUAAAUUUGAAAAAGGAAACAAA